This is a non-coding RNA of Phrynosoma platyrhinos (Desert horned lizard), 72 nucleotides long. The record is from the annotation of a GenBank genome assembly. Lineage: Eukaryota; Metazoa; Chordata; Lepidosauria; Squamata; Phrynosomatidae.
ACCAGUGUGGUGUAGUGGUCUGAUUGUUGGAUUUUGAUUCUGCAGACCAGGGUUCAAUUCCCUGCUCAGCCA